This 257-nucleotide ribosomal RNA is filed under the name uncultured Pseudomonas sp. Its description in RNAcentral is "partial 16S ribosomal RNA". It matches the Rfam family "Bacterial small subunit ribosomal RNA", at positions 96 to 354 of the family's 1533-position model. Lineage: Bacteria; Pseudomonadati; Pseudomonadota; Gammaproteobacteria; Pseudomonadales; Pseudomonadaceae. The record is from RNAcentral.
CGGCGGACGGGUGAGUAAUGCCUAGGGAAUCUGCCUGGUAGUGGGGGACAACGUUUCGAAAGGAACGCUAAUACCGCAUACGUCCUACGGGAGAAAGCAGGGACCUUCGGGCCUUGCGCUAUCAGAUGAGCCUAGGUCGGAUUAGCUAGUUGGUGAGGUAAUGGCUCACCAAGGCGACGAUCCGUAACUGGUCUGAGAGGAUGAUCAGUCACACUGGAACUGAGACACGGUCCAGACUCCUACGGGAGGCAGCAGGG